GCCCAGAUAGCUCAGUUGGUAGAGCAGCGGACUGAAAAUCCGCGUGUCGGUGGUUCGAAUCCGCCUCUGGGCACC
RNAcentral lists this transfer RNA (75 nucleotides) under Mesorhizobium ciceri biovar biserrulae. RNAcentral describes it as "tRNA-Phe". It matches the Rfam family "tRNA". From Rfam's summary of the family: Transfer RNA (tRNA) molecules are approximately 80 nucleotides in length. Their secondary structure includes four short double-helical elements and three loops (D, anti-codon, and T loops). The record is from RNAcentral. Lineage: Bacteria; Pseudomonadati; Pseudomonadota; Alphaproteobacteria; Hyphomicrobiales; Phyllobacteriaceae. RNAcentral also lists the same sequence under 7 other names.